RNAcentral lists this ribosomal RNA (253 nucleotides) under uncultured bacterium. Its description in RNAcentral is "partial 16S ribosomal RNA". It matches the Rfam family "Bacterial small subunit ribosomal RNA", at positions 524 to 776 of the family's 1533-position model. The record is from RNAcentral.
UACGUAGGGUGCAAGCGUUAAUCGGAAUUACUGGGCGUAAAGCGUGCGCAGGCGGUAAUGUAAGACAGAGGUGAAAUCCCCGGGCUCAACCUGGGAACUGCCUUUGUGACUGCAUUGCUAGAGUACGGUAGAGGGGGGUGGAAUUCCGCGUGUAGCAGUGAAAUGCGUAGAUAUGCGAAGGAACACCGAUGGCGAAGGCAGCCUCCUGGACCUGUACUGACGCUCAUGCACGAAAGCACGGGGAGCAAACAGG